Molecule: ribosomal RNA, 465 nt
Filed under: Vreelandella stevensii
Lineage: Bacteria; Pseudomonadati; Pseudomonadota; Gammaproteobacteria; Oceanospirillales; Halomonadaceae
Description: partial 16S ribosomal RNA
Rfam family: Bacterial small subunit ribosomal RNA
Source: RNAcentral
CCUACGGGAGGCAGCAGUGGGGAAUAUUGGACAAUGGGGGGAACCCUGAUCCAGCCAUGCCGCGUGUGUGAAGAAGGCCCUCGGGUUGUAAAGCACUUUCAGUGAGGAAGAACGCCUGGUGGUUAAUACCCAUCAGGAAAGACAUCACUCACAGAAGAAGCACCUGCUAACUCCGUGCCAGCAGCCGCGGUAAUACGGAGGGUGCGAGCGUUAAUCGGAAUUACUGGGCGUAAAGCGCGCGUAGGUGGCUUGAUAAGCCGGUUGUGAAAGCCCCGGGCUCAACCUGGGAACGGCAUCCGGAACUGUCAAGCUAGAGUGCAGGAGAGGAAGGUAGAAUUCCCGGUGUAGCGGUGAAAUGCGUAGAGAUCGGGAGGAAUACCAGUGGCGAAGGCGGCCUUCUGGACUGACACUGACACUGAGGUGCGAAAGCGUGGGUAGCAAACAGGAUUAGAUACCCCAGUAGUC